AAAUUCCCAAAAUACAAAGUUUAUAUAAUUUCCUGAUUGGAGGAAAGUCUCUACUCGGAGCCGUAACUUCGAACUAUAAGCGACUGGAGGCAUACU
RNAcentral lists this non-coding RNA (96 nucleotides) under Ligilactobacillus equi. RNAcentral's name for it is "Lactobacillus equi Guanine sequence". It matches the Rfam family "Purine riboswitch aptamer". Rfam says of the family: Riboswitches are metabolite binding domains within certain messenger RNAs that serve as precision sensors for their corresponding targets. Allosteric rearrangement of mRNA structure is mediated by ligand binding, and this results in modulation of gene expression. The record is from RNAcentral. RNAcentral also lists the same sequence under 1 other name. Lineage: Bacteria; Bacillati; Bacillota; Bacilli; Lactobacillales; Lactobacillaceae.